RNAcentral lists this ribosomal RNA (333 nucleotides) under Vibrio parahaemolyticus. RNAcentral describes it as "bacterial SSU rRNA". It matches the Rfam family "Bacterial small subunit ribosomal RNA", at positions 443 to 777 of the family's 1533-position model. Lineage: Bacteria; Pseudomonadati; Pseudomonadota; Gammaproteobacteria; Vibrionales; Vibrionaceae. The record is from RNAcentral.
CGGUGUAGUUAAUAGCUGCAUUAUUUGACGUUAGCGACAGAAGAAGCACCGGCUAACUCCGUGCCAGCAGCCGCGGUAAUACGGAGGGUGCGAGCGUUAAUCGGAAUUACUGGGCGUAAAGCGCAUGCAGGUGGUUUGUUAAGUCAGAUGUGAAAGCCCGGGGCUCAACCUCGGAAUUGCAUUUGAAACUGGCAGACUAGAGUACUGUAGAGGGGGGUAGAAUUUCAGGUGUAGCGGUGAAAUGCGUAGAGAUCUGAAGGAAUACCGGUGGCGAAGGCGGCCCCCUGGACAGAUACUGACACUCAGAUGCGAAAGCGUGGGGAGCAAACAGGA